CUUUAUAUACUGACUACCAUUUUCAUUUCUGCACGUGCAAAUCCUGCCUGAUAAGAUUUUCUAAGAUUUUCUUUUGAUUGAGGCAGAAAUUAAAGAGUGGAGAGAAGAAUGUGCCCAGAAGUCAUGAAGUCCCAGAAGCUGGUAUGCAAAGGAACAUAGCUGUGUGCUGGGGCCCUAGUGGGCGCCGAGUACUUGGCGGGGACCUGGGGCACAGCCACGAGCAGGAUGGUGACUGCCCGCGAGGAGCAGACAAGCUAGCGGGGAACAGAUGACAAAGUCAUGACACAGACGCACAUGUAAUUCAGGGAAGUUAUCUGAGAGCUGCUAGAAUCGAUCCUGAAGAACUACAUGUGGACAAUAACGCAAUUUCUGGAAUUUCUUGUUGAAAUGGAUUUUUUCUGAAUUUCCACCAAACAUCCUUAUGUUUAAGGCUCUCCCUAAUUAUUUGUGUGUCUAUUGCUUCGGGUGAGAAAGAACAUUUCCAAAUAAAAAUGAAUUGAAGAUAUUCUUUGGUUAAUUAUGAUCAAAGAUAAAUUGAUAAAUUUGAUCAAUCUGAGCUACUUCUUGAAUAUAAAAAUAUGCAAAGAUCAGGGGAGCCCAGGUGGCUCAGUCAGUUAAG
This is a long non-coding RNA of Leopardus geoffroyi (Geoffroy's cat), 619 nucleotides long. RefSeq lists it as uncharacterized. The transcript has 3 exons. The record is from RefSeq and is a predicted model, not a curated record. Lineage: Eukaryota; Metazoa; Chordata; Mammalia; Carnivora; Felidae.